Polyodon spathula (Mississippi paddlefish) is the source of this 1841-nucleotide long non-coding RNA. RefSeq lists it as uncharacterized. The record is from RefSeq and is a predicted model, not a curated record. NCBI's taxonomy places the organism in Eukaryota, Metazoa, Chordata, Actinopteri, Acipenseriformes, Polyodontidae. The transcript is spliced from 3 exons.
ACUAACACUUAAACAAACAGUGGACUAAGAAACAAACACGAACACGUCGGUCAGGUGGCCAGAGAGCUGCCACAGCCACAGUGGAGGGUUAACACAGCCAAAGGAGGGUACAGAGGUCUAGCGGUCUGAGUGAAGUGGCAUAGAGCUGCUAAACUGCUCGCUCGCUGGAGUCUGUCUGUCCAGUGACAGGCUCAGCACCUCCACCGUACUGCCACUAGAACCCGUUAACGAGGGGUCUAAAGGAAUGAGUAAAAAAUUGUAGCAUUGCAAAUGCCUCUGUAUACAGGUUGAUGGCUUCGAUCAGAUGUUUUAACACUUCUUGCUGUUGCUUCCACCUGGUUUUCGAGGCUGGGGGUUUCUGCUGAUGAAGAGGACUUUCUCUGUGUUAGAGUUGGGCCAGGACAUCAUUCCUUGCUUACCCACACAGCACAGUGCCUACUCAAACAACACAUUGCAGCAGUACUUAAACAAUAGCAGGAGGAUUGCUACAUGGGGGUUGACUCUGUCUGAGUUACCAUUCCCAACAGACAACAUUGGGAAUGGUAAACUUUAAAUUACUUUACAUUACAUAAUUCAACUACAUUGAUGUCAUUCCAGUGGAUGGAGACUUAUCCUUGUAAGACAAAGACAAUUAUUCUGGUAGAUCACUGGUCUAGCUCAUGGAAUCAAAUCUGCAUAUCUGAUUUCAUUGAGCUUGAAACUUUAAUGCAGACAAGAUUGUGUAGGAGGCUGGGGGUGUGACACAGCACUGGGGACAGGCCACAAAGAACUCCAAAAUAAGCCCUCCAAGUUUCCAACCAUGUUUCUUUAAAAUAGUAAUUUAAAAAGGCAAUAUGAGCAUCCAUUUUGUGCUAUUAUGAAAAGAAAACAACUAACAGUGCUUCUAAGCGUAUUAUGAGCAACAGGGGGCAAGAGGAAUAUAAAGAAUGGGGGGAUUGUACACUAUGCAAAGGUUAUUGUGAACCUGUGAAUAGCAGUGUUACUGUAUCAAACAACCCUGUAAAAGAGACAAUAAAACAUUAAGAAGACCUAAAACUGUGUUUUCAGUGUAACAUAACUGACGUCUGGAUAACCUCACAAGGGACUUUAUAUUUAAAGCUAUAGGCUUCCAACAUAAUUUUCAAUGUUGCCUGUGCCUGUUUACUAAAUUAAUCCAUACAGUACUGUUCUUCCCACGUGAUGUUUUUGUACAGGAAAUACCUGUAUUAAUAAUUAAACCAUUAGCUCAUUUGGAUAUAUUUCAUAACAAUCUGAUGAAAUACAUACAAUAUUUUUGAAAAUCUCUUUAAGACACUACACCUUUAAAAUUUGCAGUAACUCAAGUGUCACCUACUUGUAACCAUAGCAGCAUUACCUGUCAGGGCCCUGUUCCAGGAACACCAAGAAUAUUUCAAGUGCAGUUAACAAUCAUGAGCACUACCUGAAAUGGCACAAAAAAACACAUCACUGUAUUUAGCUCAUCGUUUUAAAAUAAGAAGAGCUCUAUAGGUUAUCGGUCAUUUGCAUGGAUAACAAAUGCUUUAGCAAUGUUUGACUUUUUAAUGCAUGUGGACAAAAAUGAAGUAUAGAUGAAAAGCUACCUUUACGCAACAUCAUAUUUGGUUAAAAGUGUUAUUUAAAACUGUUAUAUAUUACUGCAGGUGCAGAGCGUGUUCAUGUGCACAACACUCACAAAAUAGUUACACUGUAUUUCAAAACGUGUAAGGCCGCGUGAUAGCUAACACAUGUAAGGCCGUGUGUUAGCUCUGUUAUAAAAGGGAAGGCACAUGUGCACUUCGGGGAUUCUUGGGGUUCUGUGUUAGUGUAUUCUGUGUGUAACUGCCUUAAUAAACAAGUUUUUG